This 3471-nucleotide long non-coding RNA is filed under the name Homo sapiens (human). RNAcentral describes it as "HSALNT0299839". Lineage: Eukaryota; Metazoa; Chordata; Mammalia; Primates; Hominidae. The record is from RNAcentral.
ACCACAGGCGUGUGCCAUCGUGCCCGGCCUGGCACAUUUUGCAUUCCUGUUGGAAGUUAGAGGGAGCCUCCCCUCUGUGUCUCACGAAGUCAUGAGCGAAGAGACCGUGAGCCUCUCCCAAACCCCGCAUGUGCUGACAUCUCCACGUGUGCUGUGUCCUGGGUAGGCUUUCUUCAUAGACCGUGCUUCCGUCUGUCUGGAGUUUCCGCUUCAUCCAUCUGUCCACAGGGAGGACGCACACCCCUGAGUCCGAGGCCACACCACGCAUUCUGUAGAAACUCUCACUGCCCAGGGAGCACACUUUAUUAGGAAAGCUCCAGGUUCACAGAGGCUCUGGGCUCUCUCUGGGCCCGACGCCCUUCACUGUUUGAACUCAGCAGCUGCCUGCAGGUGCGGAGGACAUGCACCUUCCAGCCUUUGUCCUUUCCUGGCCUUCUCGUCAAUCUUACCGUCUGUCGGCCCUAAGUGGAUGCUCGGGUAAGUAAGUCCGUAAGCAAUGAGCAGUUCCUGUCCUUAGCAUGUCUGGGGUCUGUGGCUUUUGCGAAGGCAUCUGCAAAGCUAUUGCUGACAUGGAUGUCAUGAGGUUCUCUCCCUUAUUCCAGAGCUCAGUAAGCCCACAGGGCACAAGGCUCUUGACAUUCACAGCUGAGUGAGAAAGUGGUGAUGUUUAACUAUAAGCAUGAAAAACCCAAAAAGUACAAUAAUAAGGUUUCCAUGUGCAACGCAUGUAUCCAGCGCCCUGGAACGAAACAGACACGUGUGCUCUUUGAGCGGAAGGAAGAUGCAGGUCAGGAAAAAUGGUGAUUCUGCUGUUUCCCAAGUCACCCAGCAGGUGGGGGUGUCUGCUCAUGGAAACCCGCAUUUGCUAGGAUACAAUUUCCCUCUUUCUUUUUCACGAAGGAAAGGUCAAUUCACUCAGAAAUUACAUCCUUAGUGAGAUACCUAUGACUUGUAGGGCCCCAUACACUCAGAACCCCCGCUCCUGGGGGACUGCUGGGUGAACGUGGUCCAACAUGUGUAAUAUUCAUAAGGAAUGGGUGUUACAAGCCCAGCAGGCUGUAUGGCUUUCAUUAAUUUGGCCAGAGUCAUUCACGAAUAGCAGAAUGUUUAAUAUGGAAGCAGCAGCCACCCAAAUAGCAAACACAAUUUGGUAGAGAUGUGGGCUGUUAGCGCCGUGGCAGGGGUGAGGCAGUCUUACCAAGUGCUGAUGGUGAAGUGUGUUGUCAUCUCUUCCUGAACUUAAAUUUGUUACGUGACUCUAAGCAAUUCACUUCCAAUGCCUGGGACUCAGCUAUUUCCUCUCCAAAAUCAAGGGGCUGUACAGAGUGACCUUGGGGUGUUCUCCAGGGCUAACACGGUACCAAUUAUCCCAGUAAGAGGCCAAAGCCGCGGCCAGUUUGCCUGAAAUUCUCCUGUGAGUGGCCCAACAGAAAUAAUCAAAGUGAGUGGAUGGUGUGACAGACACAGAAAGACCUGGGAAGGAAGCUGACCAACUCCCUGGAUACUUAGCCAGGCACAAUCUUCUCAGUUAGAUCUUUAAAUCGAUUGAGAUUUGGCAAAAUUGUUACAAAUCCUGGCAGCAUAUCAACCAAGAUCAUUAUACCCAUUAAGUAACUAAUACUCUAAAACUCUUUGACCCCAAGGAGUGUCAGGAUUGUAGCACUGUGAAGAUGCUGCAGACGAAUUAAGGCUGAUCCCAUCAUCGGGGAUUGUCAAGGUUGUGAGCCAUCAGUGUGUAAUCAUCCAGGGACUCUUAAAAUAUGUGUAUCACUAUAGUCAGGGCUCUGCAGUGAGACAGAACCAAUAGGCUACAUAGGUAGGUAGCUAUAUAGAUAGACAGGUGAUAGAUAGAUAGAUAAUAAUAGAUAAACAGAUAGCUAGCUAGAUGGAUGGAAAGAGGAUAUUCAGUAGGAGAAUGGGCUCAUGUGAUGGUGGAGGUGAGAAGUCCCAGGACAGCCUGUCUUAGAGUAGAUAGAUAGAUAGAUAGAUAGAUAGACAAACAGAUAGCUAACUAGGUGGAUGGAAAGAGGAUAUUCAAUAGGAGCACUGGCUCAUGUGAUGGUGGAGGUGAGAAGUCCCAGGACAGGCUGUCUUAGAGCUGGACACUCUGGGAUGCCGGUCAUGUGACUCAGGACCCGAGUUGCAAGGCCUCAGAGCCAGGGAAGACAAUGGCAUGACUCAGUCCAAGGCUGAAGGCCUGAGAGCCCAGGGCAGGGAGUGCUAGUGCAAGCCCAGAGUCUGAAGGCCAAGAGGCUAGAGUGCUGAUGUCCAAGGGCAGGAGAAGAAGGGUGUCCCAGCUCUAGGAGACAGACACAGCUACCUUUUAGUUCUAUCCGGGAUUGGAUGGUGCCUACCCUGCAUUCAGGCAGGUCUUCCCCCUCAGUCUGCUGACUCACAGCCCAGUCUCCUCCAAAACAGCUCAUCCUCUUAUCCAUCCAUCUAGCUGAGGCUGAGACAAGAUCUCACCGGCCAGCUGGGCCUCCCUCCAGCCAGCCAGGUUGAGGCCUGGUGUUAACCAUCACUAUAUGGCACUACUCCUUCUGGCUAAUCCCAGAGGGCAGAGGUCAUGCAGGCACCGCAUCAAGCCAGGGUUCCUUGUUUUGGUGUCAGCAAGAGGCUCCGAGGUGGAAGGGAAGACCGCUCCCCAGUCAGUGUGUUCCAGUGCAUGGCAGGGCAGCAGCUGGAAGUAGGAGGCCUGUGUUCCCUUCGUGGAAAUGAUCCUGAGGUUGGGCGGCCACCUCCCUUCACUGCCCAGAGCGGGUGCUGAUGUGUUGUGCGUUGCUGCGAUUCCCUGCGUCUCUCCUCACCUGCUGAUGGGAACUCUCAGCAGCUCCUCUGCAGAAGCUGGGUCCUGUCCCUUCCCUGGGUGUUGAUAUGGUUUGGUCUGUGUCCCACCCAGUCUCAUGUGGAAUUGUCACUCCCAGUGUUGGAGGAGGGGCCUGUUGGGAGGCGGUGGGAUCACAGGGUGGGUUCUCAGGAAGGGUCCAGCACCACCCCUCUUGGUCCUGUGCAGUGAGUCCCCUGCCAUCUGGUGGUCUCCAUGUGUGGCUGCCCCUCUGCCUCCCGGCUCCUGGCUCCCAGCCUGUGAUGGGCCUCCUACCCUGCCCCUUCCACCAUGACUGUGUUUCCAGAGGCCUCCCCAGAAGCCGAGCAGAUGGCAGCACCAUGCGUCCUGCACCACCUGCGCAACCCAGAGCCAGUUAAAACUCUUUUCUUUCUAAAUGACCCAGUCUCAGUGGUUCUUUAUGGCAGUGUGAGAACGGGCUGCUUACCGGUGUGAUAAGGGCAAUUUGUGAAAUUUGCCAGGAUAUUUUUAAUAUUGUUUUAAUUAUGAAAUCAUUCAUGAGUUUUAUUUUAAUAUUGUUUUAAUUAUGAAAUCAUGAGUUUUACAUGAACAAAACUAAGAGUUUGGGAACACACAGAACAGGAUGGCCUGGCACCUAGGGAAAACAACAGUCUGGUAUUUUUGGG